AUGGAUACGAACCCACAAAUUCUGUGUUGGAACGUGAGGGGGUUAAACAACCCUGCCAAAAGAAGCGCCGUUAGGGAGUUCAUUGUGUCAGCGAAGGUGAACCUUGUGUGCUUGCAAGAGACCAAGAUUGAUGUGUUUGAUCCGUUUAAUGUAAUGCAAUGCAUUGGGCCAUCUUUUUAUGGCUUUGACUAUGUCCCGGCGAUUGAUACGCGUGGUGGUAUCCUUUUGGGGUGGGAUACAACGGUCUUGGUGGUAGAUAAUAUCAUCAGGGUUACCAAUUCGCUCACCGGGCCGGUUCACAAUAAGGAUGGGUUGGAGUGGUGGAUUACUGUGGUCUAUGGUCCGCAAGUGAUGAAGCCACGAUGCAAUUUCUUCUAG
RNAcentral lists this ribosomal RNA (378 nucleotides) under Triticum aestivum (bread wheat). RNAcentral's name for it is "partial small subunit ribosomal RNA". The record is from RNAcentral. Lineage: Eukaryota; Viridiplantae; Streptophyta; Magnoliopsida; Poales; Poaceae.